Molecule: long non-coding RNA, 891 nt
Organism: Brienomyrus brachyistius
Lineage: Eukaryota; Metazoa; Chordata; Actinopteri; Osteoglossiformes; Mormyridae
Exons: 3
Source: RefSeq, a predicted model, not a curated record
UUGACGAUAGAAGGAGGACUGGAGGCGAGCAUAAGAUUGAGGAUCGAUGACUAGGUCAUAUGGGACUCUGACACUUUCAGAAAGUUUGUUCGUCAGUCAAAGAUUUAAUCCAAGGUGAUUUUAACACCGGAGGCUAAGCUAAAGGUACAAACACAGGCCUCUGUUUUUAAGACUGGAGGGUAAGCUAAAGGUACAAACACAGGCCUCUGCUUUUAACACCGGAGGCUAAGCUAAAGGUACAAACACAGGUCUCUGCUUUUAACGCCGGAGGCUAAGCUAAAGGUACAAACACAGGCCUCUGUUUUUAACACCGGAGGCUAAACUAAAGGUACAAACACAGGCCUCUGUUUUUAACACCGGAGGCUAAGCUAAAGGUACAAACACAGGUCUCUGUUUUUAACACCGGAGGCUAAGCUAAAGGUACAAACACAGGUCUCUGCUUUUAACGCCGGAGGCUAAGCUAAAGGUACAAACACAGGCCUUUGUUUUUAACACCGGAGGCUAAGCUAAAGGUACAAACACAGGCCUCUGUUUUUAAGACUGGAGGGUAAGCUAAGGGUACAAACACAGGCCUCUGUUUUUAAGACUGGAGGGUAAGCUAAGGGUACAAACACAGGCCUCUGUUUUUAAGACUGGAGGGUAAGCUAAGGGUACAAACACAGGCCUCUGCUUUUAAGACAGGAGGGUAAGCUAAGGGUACAAACACAGGCCUCUGCUUUUAAGACUGGAGGGUAAGCUAAGGGUACAAACACAGGCAUCUGUUUUUAAGACCGGAGGUUAAGCUAAAGGUACAAACACAGGCCUCUCCUAGGUAUUAGCCAGGCCACCAUGCAUUAUGGUUUAAAUACCUCAUUUGACAAGGGUUUGUGUUCGGGGAGUGUUUCAGGAGUG